UGGCGGACGGGUGAGUAACGCGUGGGUAACCUGCCUUGCACUGGGGGAUAACACUUAGAAAUAGGUGCUAAUACCGCAUAAGCGCACGGUCCUGCAUGGGACAGUGUGAAAAACUCCGGUGGUGCAAGAUGGACCCGCGUCUGAUUAGCUGGUUGGCGGGGUAAAGGCCCACCAAGGCGACGAUCAGUAGCAGGCCUGAGAGGGUGGACGGCCACAUUGGGACUGAGACACGGCCCAAACUCCUACGGAAGGCAGCAG
Molecule: ribosomal RNA, 258 nt
Filed under: uncultured bacterium
Lineage: Bacteria
Description: partial 16S ribosomal RNA
Rfam family: Bacterial small subunit ribosomal RNA
Source: RNAcentral